AUAAUAAAUGAUAUUUUUAUAUACAGUGAAGACAUGAACAUGAUAUAUAUUUUUAAGCAUCAAUUUGAUCUUAUUACAUAUACUUGUUUUGCUAUUGCAAAUGUGCAGGUAUUAUAUUUAAAUUUUAAUUUCUUUACAUUGAGUUGUUAGGUUGCUGUUCUAAGUUUUAUUUUGAUUAAGUUUUGCUGAAUGUGUUGUUGAUUUUAAUUUUGUUAAAUCAUUUUUGGCAUGUCAAGUACACUAUUUUUAUUAAUUGUUUGGGCGUUUUUAUAAUAUUUUUGAAUAAUAAGCAUCCCUUACCUACAAAUGAUAAAGUACUCUAGCUGCUGAAACUGUUAGUGGAGUACUCAUUUAAACAAAUCAUGGUUGAAAUCAUAUUAUUAUCUUCAAAUUAUAUUAUAUUUUUUUAUUGAAUUAUUCCCCCCCCCC
This 429-nucleotide long non-coding RNA is filed under the name Mytilus galloprovincialis (Mediterranean mussel). Lineage: Eukaryota; Metazoa; Mollusca; Bivalvia; Mytilida; Mytilidae. The record is from RNAcentral.